This is a long non-coding RNA of Mastomys coucha (southern multimammate mouse), 915 nucleotides long. RefSeq lists it as uncharacterized. NCBI's taxonomy places the organism in Eukaryota, Metazoa, Chordata, Mammalia, Rodentia, Muridae. The record is from RefSeq and is a predicted model, not a curated record. The transcript has 3 exons.
AUUUUAAUUGGGGCCUGUGUGCAGGGCUCACCCUAGCCUCUGAGAACGCAGGCUUUCUCUGAUGGGUCUCUGCUCCUGAGCAUGUGACGAGCUCUUGAAAAACCACAUGGAACAACCCAGAAAUAGCCAACAGACCAAAGGGAAAAUGAGUUGGAGCCAGUUCCACAAAGCACCGGGAUACCUCCUGAGACUAUGUGCUGGGAAGAAGGGGUCACACUUUUCUAUCCCUACAAGGACAAGAGGACCCUCUGGGUCUCCUCUGUGAAAGGACUCACCCAUGGUGGCCUAACAACCUCCUGUUUCGGUUUGAAUGAGUAGGGUCCUACCCACUCGCCCUUUGUCCAUGGUCACAGGCUUGGUCACCAGGAUGGUGCUGACUGGACAGUGGAGAACCUUUAGGAAAUGGAGCCGUCACAAGGGAUUAUGGGAAUUUAGACUCUCCACCACUCCCUCGUCUGGCUCACAUGAAGCUUCUCUGGGUGGGAGCUUCACCUCAUGACACACGUUACAAGUUCCACACUUACAGCUGAUUUCAUAUUACAUUUUACGGUGACUGCUUGCUGACGACCUAGAGAUGUUCUCCAUUCCUGCACGUCAGCUGCCUCCUGAUCACAGUGCAGAACGAGUCCUGGGCCCAUGCGCGCUGCCGGCCACCAGCUCAGCCAACAGGCUGCAACAGCCAUGACCUUGUCCUGAGUGUCAGGGUGACUUGAGGACCACUUCCCACAAUCAGUGGAGACACCUACAGUGGAAGCCUCAAGUCCUAUCUGCUUCCAAAAGGGGGAUGGAGAGCCAGAGUCCCCGGAGGAUUUGAAUAACAGCAGAGAAAAGCUGAGCUGGAUAGGGUGGCUCAGAGGCUGGAGGCAGAUGGCUCAGAGGUUAAGAGCACUGACUGCUUUUCCAGAGGUCCUGAGU